RNAcentral lists this long non-coding RNA (517 nucleotides) under Apteryx owenii (little spotted kiwi). Its description in RNAcentral is "lncRNA (ENSAOWG00000007334.1)". The record is from RNAcentral. Lineage: Eukaryota; Metazoa; Chordata; Aves; Apterygiformes; Apterygidae.
UUCUCUAAGUUUGAUGAUAAACGGAGGACCACCUGCAGUUCCAACUUACUCUAGAGAGAGGUUGUGGAGUUGUAGAGGAAGACAUCCCCGGACUAAAUGUCAACCCAAGGAUUCACUACUUUUAAUAUCUACCCCUGCUCACUUAAGGGGAAAACUCAGGAGAGCAAAUAUGUUCCAUAGACAAACUUCUAGAAUAUAUUCAUUUACAUAUGCAGUUUCGUCAGACAUCACAAAAGUUUAAAGACCAAGAAUUGUUAAUGUCAGUAAGAUUUAAGCACUGCACCAGGAGAAAAGUUUAAGUCCUGUGGAUGGAGUUGAAAAGCACUUAAUGUAAUUAUGCAAUGUUCUGUUACUUUGUAUUUACAAAGUUUCUUAUGUCAGUUAUUUCACAAACAUGUUUUGUGAAAUCUCAGUUCUUGAGACUGUGUUAGAUGAAGGAAGACCAUCUAUGAAUACUUUAAAAACAGCUACAGUGCUAAAGAAUAAAUGCAUUAAAAAUUUAAAAACUGUGAAGUAA